GUCAAAAGAGAAGGAGACAAAGCAAACCGAGCUGCCCUACCGCACCGGAGAAGAACCAGAAACUUGGAAUUUUUGACAACUCUCCGCGGACUCUCCACUACACAGUGGCUUAUCAUUCUGGGGUUAGCCGGCUGCCUAGCCUCGCUUCUUCUUUCUUUGCUCUGAGGGGCAUCCAAUCCACAAAGCCUGCAACAUUUACUAAGAGAUGAAAAAGCUUACGCAGGCAUUGUAAGCUGAAGUGGAUUUGGGUGCCGGGUUCUAUUGUUCUUUGAUUCAGUUUUUCAUUUUUCCGAUUUCUCUGUAAGUAGGAAUAUGUUUGUAGAUAAUUUCGAUUCUUAGAAAAUGUCGAUUCUUGGAGGUGGUAACCUGCAAAUGGAGGCUCCUUGAUCAUCUGGGUUUCUGGAGAUUUCAACUUUUGGGGCUCUGAUUUUCACUCUGGGUUGCUACUUUUUUCACACCAGUUAAUCUCUGUAGAAAAUUUGGGUUCUUGAAGUGGUAACCUGCAAUUUAGGCUCCUUUAUCAUCUGGGUUUCUUGAGAUUUCAGCUGUUGGGGCUCUGAUUUUCAGUCUCGGUUGCUACUUUUCACACCCAGUUAGUCUCUGUAUAAAAUUUCGGUUCUUGAAGUGGUGACCUGCAAUUGAGGCUCCUUUAUCAUCUGGGUUCGUAGAUACAAGUCCUGGGGCUCUGAUUUUCACUAUGGGUUGCUGCUUUUCACACCAGUUAGUCUUUGUAGAAAAUUUAGGUUCUUGAAGUGGUGACCUGCAAUUGAGGCUCCUUUUUCAUCUGGGUUCGUAUAUACAAGGCUUGGGGCUCUGAUUUUCACUAUGGGUUGCUGCUUCUCACUGGUGUUGGUCUCUGUAACUAGAGGGGUAUUUUGUAGAAGACUGAUUAAUAUUCUGUGUGAUGUAGUCAAUGGUCCAAUGAGGCCCUUACUGUGUUUCAUGUACAUCAAUAGUUAACUGAGAAAUUAAUGUGAAAAAUACUUGCUUUCUGGUGUUGUGAUUG
Long non-coding RNA from Rosa chinensis, 1006 nucleotides. RefSeq lists it as uncharacterized. The transcript is spliced from 2 exons. The record is from RefSeq and is a predicted model, not a curated record. NCBI's taxonomy places the organism in Eukaryota, Viridiplantae, Streptophyta, Magnoliopsida, Rosales, Rosaceae.